CCUAACACAUGCAAGUCGAGCGGAUGACGGGAGCUUGCUCCUUGAUUCAGCGGCGGACGGGUGAGUAAUGCCUAGGAAUCUGCCUGGUAGUGGGGGACAACGUUUCGAAAGGAACGCUAAUACCGCAUACGUCCUACGGGAGAAAGCAGGGGACCUUCGGGCCUUGCGCUAUCAGAUGAGCCUAGGUCGGAUUAGCUAGUUGGUGGGGUAAUGGCUCACCAAGGCGACGAUCCGUAACUGGUCUGAGAGGAUGAUCAGUCACACUGGAACUGAGACACGGUCCAGACUCCUACGGGAGGCAGCAGUGGGGAAUAUUGGACAAUGGGCGAAAGCCUGAUCCAGCCAUGCCGCGUGUGUGAAGAAGGUCUUCGGAUUGUAAAGCACUUUAAGUUGGGAGGAAGGGCAGUAAGYUAAUACCUUGCUGUUUUGACGUUACCGACAGAAUAAGCACCGGCUAACUCUGUGCCAGCAGCCGCGGUAAUACAGAGGGUGCAAGCGUUAAUCGGAAUUACUGGGCGUAAAGCGCGCGUAGGUGGUUUGUUAAGUUGGAUGUGAAAGCCCCGGGCUCAACCUGGGAACUGCAUCCAAAACUGGCAAGCUAGAGUACGGUAGAGGGUGGUGGAAUUUCCUGUGUAGCGGUGAAAUGCGUAGAUAUAGGAAGG
This 662-nucleotide ribosomal RNA is filed under the name Pseudomonas sp. 120516_NH_C2_B2. RNAcentral's name for it is "bacterial SSU rRNA". It matches the Rfam family "Bacterial small subunit ribosomal RNA", at positions 47 to 704 of the family's 1533-position model. The record is from RNAcentral. Lineage: Bacteria; Pseudomonadati; Pseudomonadota; Gammaproteobacteria; Pseudomonadales; Pseudomonadaceae.